AUGAAAAUCAUAGGGUGGAACUGUCGUGGUAUGCUCUCCCCCAUGGCAGUUCGCGAGCUCUUGGAUCUACAAGGGCGGACCAAGGCAGAUUUAAUUUUUCUUUCCGAGUCUCAUCUGAAUAAAUGUAAAGCUGAUGAGCUUCGUCGUGUUUUAGACUUUGAUUCGAUGUUUGUAGUGGAGAGUGAUGGUCGGGCCGGUGGCCUCGUUAUGUUUUACCACAAAAUGAAUAAAGUUGUUUUAAACUAUGUGGCGGCUAAUUUUAUAAAUGUUCCUUUUCUGAAUGACAAUGUUGUACAAUGGCGUUUUACGGGCUUUUAUGGUCAUCCGAAUUGGAGGGAUCGUAAUUUAUCUUGGGAUGAUAUCCGUAACUUGCACAAUAAAGGUGAUCACCCUUGGGUGGUUUUGGGCAAUUUUAAUAAAAUUCUUCUUUCUUCGGAAAAAGAGGGAGGCAAUGCGAGACCUAAUACAAUGAUGAGAGACUUUCGUAAUUGUUUGGGAGAAUGCGGAUUGGAAGAUAUGAGAUGUAUCGGGGACCCUUUCACUUAG
This 546-nucleotide ribosomal RNA is filed under the name Triticum aestivum (bread wheat). Its description in RNAcentral is "partial small subunit ribosomal RNA". Lineage: Eukaryota; Viridiplantae; Streptophyta; Magnoliopsida; Poales; Poaceae. The record is from RNAcentral.